UACGUAGGGUGCAAGCGUUAAUCGGAAUUACUGGGCGUAAAGCGUGCGUAGGCGGUUUGUUAAGUCUGCUGUGAAAUCCCCGGGCUCAACCUGGGAAUGGCAGUGGAUACUGGCAAGCUAGAGUGUGUCAGAGGAUGGUGGAAUUCCCGGUGUAGCGGUGAAAAUGCGUAGAGAUGUGGAGGAAUACCGAUGGCGAAAGGCAGCCCCCUGGGCCAAUACUGACGCUCAUGCACGAAAAGCGUGGGGGAGCAAAACAGG
This 258-nucleotide ribosomal RNA is filed under the name uncultured bacterium. RNAcentral's name for it is "partial 16S ribosomal RNA". It matches the Rfam family "Bacterial small subunit ribosomal RNA", at positions 524 to 776 of the family's 1533-position model. The record is from RNAcentral.